Long non-coding RNA from Melospiza melodia melodia, 1952 nucleotides. RefSeq lists it as uncharacterized. The transcript is spliced from 5 exons. The record is from RefSeq and is a predicted model, not a curated record. Lineage: Eukaryota; Metazoa; Chordata; Aves; Passeriformes; Passerellidae.
CAGACAGAGAAGGAAAUAUUGGGAUGGGAAAGAACAGUUUGUUUACAUUACGCGAGAUGUGAUUGCAGACAGCGCGCGGCCGGGCUGCGGUGGAACUGGCCAGUGGCAACCUGCCUUUGCGGUGCUGGCUCCCGCCGGAGCAGCCGUGCCACGGGGAUGCUGAGCUUGGGAGCAGUGCCUGCGAGGAGCCUUGGCGUGCAGGAAUGCCGGCAGGAGAGCAUGGAGCCGUCAGCGAGGUUUAGCUGGUGGAUCAUAUUGUGAAAACUGCAGCCAUGAAAGGCCGUCCAUUUAGUGCACCCUUCAAAACGAAAUGUUAGCAUGGGAGGCUAAGCUGGAGGCUAAUAACGAGGGAGUCAGUGGAGGAGACCAAUGCCACAAGGGUUAUCUCACAGCCCCAGAUGCUGGAUAAGUUGAAGGAGGCAGAAUCGCUUUUGGAUGACAUUCAGGAAGGCCUUGAAUGAUUAUCUGGUGGAGAAAAGACUAUUCUUUUCAAGGUUUUUUUCCCUAGAUGCUGCAAUGAUCUAUUAAGAAUCCUUUUUGAGACAAAGGAUCCACUCCACCUCCAACCUAAGGAAAUGCUUUGAAGGAAUUGACAAGCUCACUUUUAAUCACAAGAGAGAAAUUACCCACAUGGAGUCAGCAGAAAAUGAAAAAGUAGAGCUCGUGCUGCGAAUAAUUCCAGCAAGUGCCAAGGGGCUAGUUGAGAAAUGGCUUCAUGAGGUGAAUAUCUUUAGCUCUUACUUAGGGUUUGGUUACUGUAUGAUCAUUUUCUCUUUUAGGAGCAAUGAAUAUUUUAAGUGUAUACUAAAUAGCUCUCUGAAUAUUUGUCAAGAUGUUCACAGAUUUCAGCCUUAUUGUUGUUAUUUAUUGCAACUAAUUUAGCAUCUGCAAACAUGCAGAAAUUAAUUCUAAUAAAAAGCUCUCUUGAAUCAGGCUGUCAGCAGAAGUUGGUCUGUGUCUGAAACCAUAUGUGUGAAUAUAUGUUUGAGUCUACAUGUAUGUGUUUUUGUGCUUUCGUGGUGUAAUGUCUGUAGUUCAGGAGGAUAAUAUGUAAAAAGUAAUCAAAGAAAUGUAAGAUUUCAAAUGCUUCCCUCCACCCUGCAGAAAGUGUGUCCCAUUGUGUUGGAAGGGUUUAAUAUCCAAUCAUUUUAACAAAAGGGAAGAGAAAUUAUGUCACUGAUAACAUCCUAACCUUUCCCCUUCGGGCCUCUAAUCUAAAUUCAUUGGUUUCAGCACAAAAUUAGUUUGGUGACCUUUUUUGUUUGCUUUGUUUAACCUUCCUCUCCCAGUGGAUGGGAAUGGGACCUUCUAUUCUUUUUUCUUUCUGGGCACCUUUCUUCCACGUGCUUCCCUUUUUCCUGGGGCAGGAUCAGCCCUGGGAAUUCCACUUCCCCUUUGUUCACUGUUGCAGGUACUGGUCUCGUCCUCAGGGGCUUGUCCCUGAGUGCUCCCUAGGCAGGGAUAAGUGACAGGGACCAGCACCCAGCACCAGCAGGGCAAGUGAGGAGAGGCUGGGGGGUUGCUGUUUGUAUAGCCAGAUGGUUGGGCAGAGACUGGGAGCAAUCCCUGGGCAGUGAAACCUGGAGCAGGUGGCAGGUUAAAGGUGUUUGGCCCUAUUCUGUAUCGUGUUCCUCCUGGCUGGGUGAGCAAAGCCAGGCUGCAUAAGCCCACUUGUGAAUCCCCUUUUCCUACACAAUGAAGCAGCAAUGUGGCAGCCUUGGAUGGAGGCCCUUUUGGGUGUGACUGCACGUGGUUUAAAAUGAGCCAUCUGCAUCAUUUUUCAGGAUAGGGCAGGGAGAAGAGAAGGGGAUGAUUUAGGCAAGCCCAAACACUUCCCACCCUGCUCUCUGUGUCAAGCCACUAGCUUGGUUUUGGACUAGUUUGCAGACAAAUUUGUCUUCCAUUAAAAAAAAAAAAAAGAAAAAAAGGGACAGUAGAAAAGUAGCUGUCCU